AUGCUCGCUUUGGCAGCACAUAUACUAAAAUUGGAACGAUAUAGAGAGGAUUAGCAUGGUCCCUGUGCAAGAAUAACUUCUGACUUCUUACAUAGUACAAACUGAA
This is a small nuclear RNA of Artibeus jamaicensis (Jamaican fruit-eating bat), 106 nucleotides long. NCBI's taxonomy places the organism in Eukaryota, Metazoa, Chordata, Mammalia, Chiroptera, Phyllostomidae. The record is from RefSeq and is a predicted model, not a curated record.